ACGAACGCUGGCGGCGUGCUUAACCCAUGCAAGUCGAACGGAAAGGCCCUGCUUUUGUGGGGUGCUCGAGUGGCGAACGGGUGAGUAACACGUGAGUAACCUGCCCUUGACUUUGGGAUAACUUCAGGAAACUGGGGCUAAUACCGGAUAGGAGCUCCUGCUGCAUGGUGGGGGUUGGAAAGUUUCGGCGGUUGGGGAUGGGCUCGCGGCUUAUCAGCUUGUUGGUGGGGUAGUGGCUUACCAAGGCUUUGACGGGUAGCCGGCCUGAGAGGGUGACCGGCCACAUUGGGACUGAGAUACGGCCCAGACUCCUACGGGAGGCAGCAGUGGGGAAUAUUGCACAAUGGGCGGAAGCCUGAUGCAGCAACGCCGCGUGCGGGAUGACGGCCUUCGGGUUGUAAACCGCUUUCGCCUGUGACGAAGCGUGAGUGACGGUAAUGGGUAAAGAAGCACCGGCUAACUACGUG
RNAcentral lists this ribosomal RNA (467 nucleotides) under uncultured bacterium. Its description in RNAcentral is "partial 16S ribosomal RNA". It matches the Rfam family "Bacterial small subunit ribosomal RNA", at positions 29 to 507 of the family's 1533-position model. The record is from RNAcentral.